CCAGUCGGCCGGACGGCCGCUCCCCGCACUGCCGAAAGGCCGCGGGGGGAGGAAAGUCCGGGCUCCACGGAAACAACGGUGCCGGGUAACGCCCGGCGGGGGCGACCCCAGGGAAAGUGCCACAGAAAGCAAACCGCCGGAUGGCUUUGGCCGGCCGGCAAGGGUGAAAGGGUGGGGUAAGAGCCCACCGCGGGCCCGGCAACGGGCCUGGCACGGCAAACCCCACCGGGAGCAAGACCGAAUAGGGGCGGCGCGAGGGGCGACCCUCAUCCCGUUUCCGGGCCUGCCGCCCGGGUAGGUUGCGUGAGGCGCCGGGCGACCGGCGUCCCAGAGGAAUGGUCGUCACGCGGCGAUGAGCCGCCAUACAAAACCCGGCUUACAGGCCGGCUGGCAUU
Molecule: RNase P RNA, 395 nt
Filed under: Hyphomicrobiales bacterium
Lineage: Bacteria; Pseudomonadati; Pseudomonadota; Alphaproteobacteria; Hyphomicrobiales
Description: Rhizobiales bacterium (bioreactor metagenome) RNase P RNA component class A
Rfam family: Bacterial RNase P class A
About the family: Ribonuclease P (RNase P) is a ubiquitous endoribonuclease, found in archaea, bacteria and eukarya as well as chloroplasts and mitochondria. Its best characterised activity is the generation of mature 5'-ends of tRNAs by cleaving the 5'-leader elements of precursor-tRNAs.
Source: RNAcentral